GCGUUGGUCGCAUAGCGGCAAUUGCCGUUGGCUGUAAACCAACUGUCCCUUGUGGACUUCCAAGGUUCGAGUCCUUGUCAACGCACCA
This 88-nucleotide transfer RNA is filed under the name uncultured archaeon. RNAcentral describes it as "tRNA-Tyr(gta)". It matches the Rfam family "tRNA". From Rfam's summary of the family: Transfer RNA (tRNA) molecules are approximately 80 nucleotides in length. Their secondary structure includes four short double-helical elements and three loops (D, anti-codon, and T loops). The record is from RNAcentral.